GUCCUCACUAGGCUCCCCGGGGGCAGGGCGCGGUAGGGGAAGGUACCCUCUCUGUGGGGCAUUUGCUCUGCUGGGAGAGGCUAGUUGUCCUCCUGAGACCUCCAAUUCACGGGCUGCAGGCGGCAGCUCCUGUAGGAGGGGCUUUGUGGGGAAACCCUCUCUUUGCAACUUUUGCUCAGGGCUGGGCAGGGCUGGCUGUCAGACUCUGCCCAGGCGGGUCCCCAUCACUUUGCUGGCUUUCUCUUGGUGCCCCUGGGGCCAGGGGCCAGGGUUGGACCCCACAAUCUCCUGGGCUACAGGAAGUGCUGUUUAGGAAAGGGUGGAGCCUGCCCCCUUUACUGGGGGGCUUAGUGUAGAGCUUGGUGGCUGGACAAGGUCCCACCCCUCAGCCCCCUUGGGAUCAGUAUCUGGUGGGGUGGCGGGGGGCGGGGCACCACCUCCUUCUAUUCUUUGCCUAAUUCUGGGAAAGGCUGGUUGACUGGGCCCAGCCCCCCACGCCCCUUGGUGGAGGACUCAGGUGGGGAGGGGCAUCGGCCCAGCUGCUCCUGUGAGGAAGCGGCGCUCCUUAACUGUUAGAGGAGUGGUUACAGUUAAAAGAGAUCAAUCUGCAGCGCCUCCCUCCUCCCAGUCGGCUGUCUACCUAGAACAACAUUUUCUUGGAGCUUUUUGUCUUUGUGCUCCUUGGUGGUCCUAGGUUGGAGGGCCAGGGUGUUUAGGAUGCAAAAGUAAACAGCAUCCUUCCUCUUCCCUGGAAUUCUGAGGUCCCUAGCCGCUACACCUUCUAAUCUCCACAUUUCAGAGCCUUCUGUGGGUUGCUUUCUGUUUUAUGUCCAGGAGUUUUUGUUCUUUUUUUUUUUUUUUUUUUUUGAGACGGAGUCUCGCCCUGUCCCCCAGGCUGGAGUGCAGUGACGCGAUCACUGCAAGCUCCGCCUCCCGGGUUCCCGCCAUUCUCCUGCCUCAGCCUCCCCGGUAGCUGGGACCACAGGCGCCCGCCGCCACGCCCGGCUAUUUUUUUGUAUAUUUUAGUAGAGACGGGGUUUCACCGUGUUAGCCAGGAUGGUCUCUAUCUCCUGACCUCGUGAUCCGCCCACCUCGGCCCCCCAAAGUGCUGGGAUUACAGGCGUGAGCCACCGCGACCGGCCGGAAUUUUUUUCUUAUUAGUGGGAGAAGAGGAGGAGAGUGAGCUUUUAUUUUCUUCACCUUAACUGGAAGCCUGGUUGAGAUGAGAAGCUUCUUACCUUAACAAUACCCAGUUGACAGGAGAAAAGAAGGCAGCUCAACCUGGCUAAGCAACGCGCUCAAAGUCCCUGUGGUGAUGAUGGGCUGGGAUUCCAUGCCACCUCUAUCCAGUGUGAAAACCCAGUCCUUUAAAAUGCAUUGUGCUUUUUUACUGCUUAAUGUUUACGGAAGUGUGUUUUGCCUACAUCUAGAAUCAAAUUAAAAUCAAAUUAGAAGGGAUGCUUACAAUUUUGGGAGGAUUAAUGUUUUGAAGAUAACAUAUCUGUCUUACCUCUAAGUUUUAUGGGGAAAGGCAACAUUCAUCUCAUAAGUUUGCAGGGUUUUUAUUCAGAAAAACAUCUUUGUAUAUCUUGAUUGAAAAAGACAUGAACUUUUGGGCACAGUCUAGGUUGAGUAAGUCACUGUGAUGAGCUGAACUGCACUCCCCUCCACCAAUUUAUGUAUUGAAGCCCUAAUUCCCCAGUACUUUAGAGUGUGAAUAUAUUUGGAGACAAGGUCUUUAAAGAGAUAAUUAAGGUAAAAUGAGGUUGUUAGGGUGGACCCUCAUCCAAUACGACUGGUAUCCUUGUUAAGAGGAGAUGAGGACACAGACAUGUACAGAGGAAAGACCAUGUGAAAACGCAGGGAGAAGACACCAUCUGCAAGCCAGGAUGAGGGGUCUCAGAAGAAAUCAACCCUGCCAACACCUGAGCUCACACUUCCAGCCUCCAGAACUGGAGAACACCCAAGGAAUGGGACGGUGCUGUCAAGAGGACAUGGAGAAGAAAACUCUUGAACCAAGGAGGACUUAGAAACACGGAGGAGGACCUGGAUGUGCCCCCAUUUAUGAUGGCGCUAGAGCCAGUGGCUUCUCUCUUGCUCGCUCUAGCUGUCUUUUCUUAAGCUCUGGGAAAGUGGUAUUUAGCUCUCAAUUUCCAGGGCUCUCAUUCUAUAUUUUGCCCCAGGGUUGUCACUAAAUCCAGUUUGGUCAGCAUUAGGUAAGUAGCUCUUUGGGUGACUGAGUGGGGUGGAGUGAUGUCCAAUAAACAUCAAGGCAUAAUGGGCAGAGCCACAGGAACCAGGACAUGGCAUGGAGCGAGCCGUGGCUGGUCCAGAGCAGGUGCAGGUUUGUGGUGGGGAGGUGUGUAUGUGCAGUGCUCAGCUUGCCACUACGAAAGCUCUUCACUUGAGCUACCAUGUGCAGACAUUGAAGAAAGGAGAGCUGAAAGACAUAGGGAGCAUCUGGCUUAUACCUAUGAACUUAUAAUUCCAUACAAUUUUUAUUUUACUUUUAAACCAACACCCCUCCCCUUUCUAAGAACCACUCUUGGUUAUCAAUGUGCUGGUUGUUAAUAUGAACCUUCUUCCAAUAACUGCAUGUAAUUAAAAAUAAUGAUCCAUUUCUUCAUGGAUGCUCUGUGUUAAAAUGUUAACAAAUUUCCCGUCAAAAUUUCUCCCCCUCCUACUUUUGCCUGAAAGAGAGAAAUUUCACAUAUUUUGGAACCUACGAAGGCUUUCCUUUUUUGGUAUCUGGAGUUUAGUCUUCCAUUGGCAAAAUCAUCUUAGUUAUUCUAGGACUAUCGCAUCUUCAAUUUUAGCCAUGGAGCUCAGCUUAGACGGUGCUUCCCAGAUUGUGGUGGUCCUAUCACUAGUGUCGUGUAAAGUCAUUUUAUAUGGGAAAAUAAAAACUAAAAUUUUGGUGAUGACUCACUUAUUUUAAAUGUUUUAAAAUUAUUUUCAAUACAUCAAAAUUAUUAUUUCAUGAAUUGCAGUUUAGCUAAGUUUAAGAAUCAAUGAAUUGAAUAAAAAAUUAAAUAAAAACAGUACAGGUGUAAAGAGCAAAUACAAUUUUAAAAUAAGAGACUGACUUCUCCCUGUUGAAAAUAAGAAAAAUAAAGAAAGAGAUACCUCCUUCCUUUUCUUAGAGCACUUUAGAGAUUUCCUAAUUGUAAUUGUUUUUCUCUGUCUCUUUGAAAUGUAUGUAAAUCUCUUUAAAAGCUAAAGAAGUCUUUUCCAGCUUUAUGACCAGGAAUGUCUUUUCUUAUGAACCUGGGACUCAUCCUUUUGGAAUAUCGUUUACAAGGAAGAUGGCUGCCCUCUCUCCCAGCUUCUGUGAAAAGAAUGCACCUGCCUGAGGGUGGGGACCAUAUCUGUUUUGUUCACCUCAACAAUCCCGGUAUCUGCAAGAG
This 3407-nucleotide long non-coding RNA is filed under the name Homo sapiens (human). Its description in RNAcentral is "PREDICTED lncRNA (TCONS_00058765)". The record is from RNAcentral. Lineage: Eukaryota; Metazoa; Chordata; Mammalia; Primates; Hominidae.